RNAcentral lists this transfer RNA (532 nucleotides) under Clostridioides difficile. Its description in RNAcentral is "partial 16S-23S ribosomal RNA intergenic spacer". The stretch from base 82 to 154 matches the Rfam family "tRNA". Lineage: Bacteria; Bacillati; Bacillota; Clostridia; Peptostreptococcales; Peptostreptococcaceae. The record is from RNAcentral.
UCGGAAGUGCGGCUGGAUCACUCCUUUCUAAGGAGAAUUGCCUACUGUUUAAUUUUGAAAGUUCUUACGAACUUUAUAUAUGGGGGUGUAGCUCAGUUGGGAAAGCACUUGCCUUGCAAGCAAGGGGUCAGGAGUUCGACUCUCCUCAUCUCCACCAUUUAAGAGUAUAUUACUUAAAUCUUUGAUUUACUUAGUAGCCUCUUACAUUGCACUUAUAGCUUAAAUUUAUACAAGCUUUGUGCGUUAGCACUUUAAGCAACAGAAUAAACUGAACGCAUGUGAAGUUUGUUUGUUGGCGCUGUGCGUUAGCACUUUAAGUAACGAAAUAAUCUUAGUGAAUACGAAGGUUGUUCGUUGACGUGGUGCAUUAGCACUUUUAAGCAACGGAAUUUAUUCGUUAGCGCCGUGCUUUAGCACUUUGAAAACUGCAUAUAUAUUUAGUGAUAUGACAUCUAAUUUGUAAUAUAUAAAGCUGAUAACUUUUUAAAAUUAUCGAAGUUGAUAGCUUCUGAUCUAUCAAACCUUUUUAACU